This 446-nucleotide ribosomal RNA is filed under the name uncultured soil bacterium. RNAcentral describes it as "bacterial SSU rRNA". It matches the Rfam family "Bacterial small subunit ribosomal RNA", at positions 26 to 518 of the family's 1533-position model. The record is from RNAcentral.
AGAGCGAACGCUGGCGGCAGGCCUAACACAUGCAAGUCGAACGGACUCUUCGGAGUUAGUGGCGGACGGGUGAGUAACACGUGGGAACGUGCCUUUUGGUUCGGAAUAAGCUCGGGAAACUGGGUCUAAUACCGAAUGUGCCCUUCGGGGGAAAGAUUUAUCGCCAUUAGAGCGGCCCGCGUCUGAUUAGCUAGUUGGUGAGGUAAAGGCUCACCAAGGCUACGAUCAGUAGCUGGUCUGAGAGGAUGACCAGCCACAUUGGGACUGAGACACGGCCCAGACUCCUACGGGAGGCAGCAGUAGGGAAUAUUGGACAAUGGGCGAAAGCCUGAUCCAGCAAUGCCGCGUGAGUGAUGAAGGCCUUAGGGUGUAAGCUCUUUACCCGAGAUGAUAAUGACAGUAUCGGGAGAAGUAACGCCCCGGACUAACUCCGCGCCAGCAGCCGC